RNAcentral lists this ribosomal RNA (503 nucleotides) under uncultured bacterium. RNAcentral's name for it is "bacterial SSU rRNA". It matches the Rfam family "Bacterial small subunit ribosomal RNA", at positions 10 to 507 of the family's 1533-position model. The record is from RNAcentral.
AGUUUGAUCAUGGCUCAGAUUGAACGCUGGCGGCAUGCCUUACACAUGCAAGUCGAACGGCAGCACGGGGGCAACCUGGUGGCGAGUGGCGAACGGGUGAGUAACAUAUCGGAACAUACCCUAGAGUGGGGGAUAACGUAGCGAAGUUAAACGCUAAUACCGCAUACGAUCUAAGGAUGAAAUGGGGGAUCUUCGGACCUCAUGCUCAUGGAGUGGCCGAUAUCUGAUUAGCUAGUUGGUGAGGUAAAGGCUCACCAAGGCGACGAUCAGUAGCUGGUUUGAGAGAACGACCAGCCACACUGGAACUGAGACACGGUCCAGACUCCUACGGGAGGCAGCAGUGGGGGAAUUUUUGGACAAUGGGGGCAACCCUGAUCCAGCAAUGCCGCGUGAGUGAAGAAGGCCUUCGGGUUGUAAAGCUCUUUUGUCAGGGAAGAAACGGUGAGUUCUAAUACAGCUUGCUAAUGACGGUACCUGAAGAAUAAGCACCGGCUAACUACGUG